CCUACGGGUGGCAACAGUGAGGAAUAUUGGUCAAUGGACGCAAGUCUGAACCAGCCAUGCCGCGUGCAGGAAGACGGCUCUAUGAGUUGUAAACUGCUUUUGUACGAGGGUAAACUUAGAUACGCGUAUCUUUCUGAACGUAUCGUACGAAUAAGGAUCGGCUAACACCGGGCCAGCAGCCGCGGUAAUACGGGGGAUUCAAGCGUUAUCCGGAUUUAUUGGGUUUAAAGGGUGCGGAGGCAGUCGGUUAAGUUAGAGAGGAAAUCCCGUGGCUCAACUUCGGAAUUGCCUCGGAUACUGUUCGGCUAGAGAGAAGUAGAGGUAAGCGGAAUGUAUGGUGUAGCGGUGAAAUGCUUAGAGAUCAUACAGAACACCGAAUGCGAAGGCAGCUUACCAAGCUACGUCUGACGUUGAGGCACGAAAGCGUGGGGAGCAAACAGGAUUAGAUACCCGAGUAGUC
Molecule: ribosomal RNA, 460 nt
Filed under: uncultured bacterium
Lineage: Bacteria
Description: partial 16S ribosomal RNA
Rfam family: Bacterial small subunit ribosomal RNA
Source: RNAcentral